CCUACGGGAGGCAGCAGUAGGGGAUAUUCCACAAUGGGGGAAACCCUGAUGCAGCGACGCCGCGUGUGUGAAGACGGUCCUCUGAAUUGUAAACCACGGUCCCCAGGGACGAAGAUCGCGGUACCUGGUGAUGACGCUCCGGCUAACUACGUCCCGACAGCCGCGGUAAUACGUAGGGGGCGAGCGUUGUCCGGACUUACUGGGUGUAAAGGGAGCGUAGGCGGGCUGACAAGUCAGAUGGGAAAUCCGGGGGCUCAACCCCCGAACUGCAUUUGAAACUGUUGGUCUUGAGUAUAGGAGAGGCAGGCGGAACUCCUAGUGUAGCGGUGAAAUGCGUAGAUAUUAGGAGGAACACCAGUGGCGAAGGCGGCCUGCUGGACUACAACUGACGGUGAGGCGCGAAAGCGUGGGGAGCAAACAGGAUUAGAUACCCUUGUAGUC
Molecule: ribosomal RNA, 441 nt
Filed under: uncultured bacterium
Lineage: Bacteria
Description: partial 16S ribosomal RNA
Rfam family: Bacterial small subunit ribosomal RNA
Source: RNAcentral